Long non-coding RNA from Physeter macrocephalus (sperm whale), 2201 nucleotides. RefSeq lists it as uncharacterized. The transcript is spliced from 5 exons. Lineage: Eukaryota; Metazoa; Chordata; Mammalia; Artiodactyla; Physeteridae. The record is from RefSeq and is a predicted model, not a curated record.
UCCGACGGCGCUGCUCUGGGGGCUUGCAGGGCUGGGGGAGGGCGGGGACGCGAGCGCCGCGCCACUCACCCCGGGUUGACGCGCCCUCGCCCCUCCCCCGCCGUCUCCAUCCUCCUCCUGGAGAACAGGGCUCAGAUUUGAAACGUAUGCCCAGUGACCAGUGAAGACCUCCGGCUCAACCCAGAAAAAUGGAAGCUUUGGUCCCCAGUCGCUCCGGCGAAGAACCAAAGAUCACUGCAGUCUGAUUUUUACAGACUCCGUACCACUGUUGCAGCCUGUGAUUCUGAGGUGCAAAAUUGGCCAGCCCAGAGAGGUAAUUUUCGGGAAUAAACUCGUGCUUUGCUGAUGGAAUGAAACAUACUGGGGCCACACUCAGAAUAGAACGUGCUUGGUGUGGCGAUCCCUGGCACAGAUUCUUUUCUGCUGGAAUGAUUUGAUCCGUGUGAAAGACCCCCCUGCCCAUCCUGGAUUCUGUCAAGUCAGGGCCUCUGUGGGUGACGGCAAGUGCAGAUGCUCUUGGCAGGUACUGGGUUACGGCUCGCACACCCACGUGCUUUCUCUGCCCAGGAAAGGAGCCAGACCAGCAAGACCCGAACUUUUCACGGGGUAAAUGGCCUUUGGGGCUGCAGAUGUACUUGGGAAAAUGGCAAGGUAUUUUUUUUUCCUAAUGGGUAUCUCAAUUUACUUCUUAUAGCUAUAACAUGAGUUAGGUAUUAUUGUCCUUAUCUUCUUCUUUUAUUUAAACUUUUAAUGUGACAGAUUUUACACUCACAGAAAAGUGAAGGUCUAAUAUGAUGAGCAACCAUGUACUCACCACCUAGAUUCAACACUUUGUCUCUCUUUCCUUUGUCUCAGUAUAUGUUCGUGUAUGUGUGUGUUAUAUCUAUACUUAUAUACACUAUCUCUGUAUCGAUAUUUUUUCCUUUUGGCUGAAUCUUUUUAAAGCAUGUUGCGAACAUUAUGGCACUUCACCUAUUCAGGAAACAGAAACUGCACCUGCUGUUUGAGUGGAGAGAAUUUACUAUAUUGACUUAACUAGAUAACAAAGUCAUUGGCUAGGUGACCAGAAGAAUAAAAUGAGGACUCCAAGGAAUCAUGGUGGAGGCAGUUUCAGGAAGCAUCCUUUGGGUUGGUGGCAUAAAGGACAAAUUGGGGUUAUUAAACCAGACACCUACAGGAAGGCUCCCUGUCGCUGAGACUCUCCUGUCAGAAGCCGAGGGACUGCUCAGCUAGUGCUGGUCUCUGAGUUGUGGCGCUGGGACCCAAACCUCUGAGGAGGGGGCUGGUUGGAGGGUGCUGGUGUCUCUAUGGGGCUGGAUUUCGUGGCUGCUGUGGGAAAGAAGUCCUGCUACUGGGGUGAAGAAGCAGUGCUGGGGGGCAAAACAGGAACAGGAAGCAGAUGGAAAGGAGCAAGUCUCUUCUUCCUCCUCCAGCCGUGCGUACUCUCUCUCUCUAGCACCCGCUUUUGGCAGAUCCUCUCAUGUGGGUUGCAGAGUCCCAGACCCAGCGUCACAAGGCCAAGUAUAGCACGGCCAACCAUAAAAGGUAACUGGGCGCCAGGUGGAGGACAUGGGGAUGAGCUACUUCUUUUACCACACUGCCACAUGGGGCCUCGGGCUUUCCCAUGGCAAGGGGAGUCAGGGUGCCUGGAAGUCUGCUGCAACUUGGAAUAUUUCCCCAAUUUCCUGCUUACUGCCUGAAUUUCCUGCGUGAGAAAUUUUACUCCUUUGCGUCAAGGUGUGGGUGCUGUGGUCUCUUUUACAAAUGCAACUCUUGGGGCUUCCCUGGUGGCGCGGUGGUUGGGAAUCCGCCUGCAAAUGCAGGGGACACGGGUUCGAGCCCUGGUCCAGGAAGAUCCCACAUGCCAUGGAGCAGCUAAGCCUGUGCACCACAACUACUGAGCCUGCGCUCUAGAGCCCGCGAGCCAUAACUACUGAGCUCACGUGCCACAACUACUGAAGCCUGUGCACCUGGAGCCUGUGCUCCGCAACAAGAGAAGCCACUGCAAUGAGAAGCCCGCACACCACAACGAAGAGUAGCCCCCCCUUGCCGCAACUAGAGAAAGCCUAUGUGCAGCAACGAAGACCCAAUGCAGCCAAUAAAUAAAUAAAUAAACAAAUCUAUUAAAAAAAUGCAACUCUUUCAGAGAGAAGGAAUACAUUAAAAAAAGGACAUUGUAUGUCUUCUUUGGAGAAAUGUCU